CCCUUAGACGUUCUGGGCCGCACGCGCGCUACACUGACCAGUGCAACAAGCAUCCGUCCUUGGCCGACAGGCUCGGGCAAUCUUUGAACGCUGGUCGUGAUGGGGAUAGACUUUUGCAAUUUUUGGUCUUCAACGAGGAAUUCCUAGUAAACGCAAGUCAUCAACUUGCAUUGAUUACGUCCCUGCCCUUUGUACACACCGCCCGUCGCACCUACCGAUUGAAUGGUCCGGUGAAGCCUCCGGAUUGGCGCGCACCUCGGUGCCGCCGAGAAGUUGGCUAAACCUUACCACUUAGAGGAAGGAGAAGUCGUAACA
RNAcentral lists this ribosomal RNA (315 nucleotides) under uncultured eukaryote. RNAcentral describes it as "partial 18S ribosomal RNA". It matches the Rfam family "Eukaryotic small subunit ribosomal RNA", at positions 1470 to 1796 of the family's 1831-position model. The record is from RNAcentral.